RNAcentral lists this ribosomal RNA (465 nucleotides) under uncultured bacterium. Its description in RNAcentral is "partial 16S ribosomal RNA". It matches the Rfam family "Bacterial small subunit ribosomal RNA", at positions 338 to 795 of the family's 1533-position model. The record is from RNAcentral.
CCUACGGGGGGCAGCAGUGGGGAAUAUUGCGCAAUGGGCGAAAGCCUGACGCGGCGACGCCGCGUGAGGGAUGAAGGUCUUCGGAUCGUAAACCUCUGUCAGCAGGGAAGAACGGUCACUGUGCUAAUCAGCAGUGAAUUGACGGUACCUGCAAAGGAAGCACCGGCUAACUCCGUGCCAGCAGCCGCGGUAAUACGGAGGGUGCGAGCGUUAAUCGGAAUUACUGGGCGUAAAGCGCUCGUAGGCGGUAUGUCAAGUCAAGGGUGAAAUCCCCGGGCUCAACGUGGGAACUGCCUUUGAAACUGGCAAACUGGAGUGUGUGAGAGGAUAGUGGAAUUCCAGGUGUAGGAGUGAAAUGCGUAGAUAUCUGGAGGAACAUCAGUGGCGAAGGCGACUAUCUGGCACAUAACUGACGCUGAGGAGCGAAAGCGUGGGUAGCAAACAGGAUUAGAUACCCGGGUAGUC